CGAGCACCAAUUAGUGUCCACAUCUCUCAAAAAGAACAUGGAUCUACAACUAUCCAUGAAAGCCCAAUGCAUGGGGGCAACAUCAAUUAGUAGUGGGCCAACACCCUCAAAGGAGGUCAGUAGAACCAAGAGAAGGUCAUGCUUACCAUGUGGUCCACACACUGAGUUUUGUAAAACCUGGUAUGACACCGUAGGUCCAGGUCAGCCUAAUAACCUUGUCCUGACUUCAAUCAGUGCUGUUCUAUCUAGAGCCUUCUGAAGAUGCCUAGACAAUCCUGGGAUGAGUAACAGUCUUUUAUGGAACUGAAAACUGAGUCCUAAUGACCCUGGCACACUGAUGUGUAAACAGCACAAGAGAUAGAACCAGAGCUGAAGACCAUGCAAUCCAGAACAAAGAAAGUCAGAAAUGGCCAUUCCAGAAGUGAUAUCCUUUCUGACCAGGACUUACCUAGAGAAGAUGCUCCAGUUGCUGUGGCCCAUUGCUAGAAAGGUCAGCAUAAGCCUGCAGCCCCCCUGGCAGGAAGCUCAAAAUACACUGCCCAGAACUUACUCAACAUUCCCCAGAAGUGCUGUCUUUGUCCAUCAUUACUUUGAGACGAAAGGCCAGACUCCUUCACUCUAGUCUCUCCACAAUCGACGUUCACCCUCCCAAAACGCUUGCGAAGACGGGAAAACAUGUCUUAGCUUGUAACCGCCAGACUCAGACUGAGAGAAACUAGGGCACUGGUUGUCACUACAACACUGGUGACAUCACAGAGGAUGCCAGAACUCUCUAGGAGACAAUAGAAUGUCCAAGAAGGGACAGCUGAUGUCAUGGGGAGCAGACUUUGCCUCCUGCUAAUGUUCUCCCUGUACUGAGCAUAAGCAGAGGUGCCCUUUCCAGGAGACUUUCCUGGGGCAGAGCCACUGAGCAUCUCCUGCUUCCAAAGCCAAAUUUUCCUCAAGGCUUGAUUAUAAAAACCUUAGUAAUUCUUAUGUAUCUAAAUGAAUGAUUCCUUCCAUAUCUUGCCACAAAAUGUCUCAUCCUAACUCAAAUUGUCCACAUUCACCAAUGUUAGCCAUUAAAACUUCCUGAGAUUUCAUACCAGCUUGAAUAUGCAGUCAAAAGUUCUCUUGUCUCAUUCUGUACAGGUGCUUUAUUUCACAUCAAGAAAUAGUCUGCAUGGUAGGUUACAACAUGGGUGUGUGUUAGGGGAACACUCAUGAAGUCAUGUGCUUAGCAAUCGACAAUUGCCAGAAAAUUCCUUAGUUGAAAGAGUUGAAGUCUUUAUGGUGCUAGGAACAGUGUGGAGACCAGUUGGCAGUGGAAAGUGCAAUAUUGGACUCACCAAUGAAGGGAACCUCAUGCUGCUUGUUGGUGUCUCAUCUCUGCGCCAAUGUCGCCAAAGGAGCACUGCUGACAGGCCUUCUAUCAGAAGCUGAGCUUCUAUCAGAAAAAUAAAAUAGUCAAGAGAUAUAGGGGGUGCAGAUAAAGGUGUAGGACGAGGCUAUACAUAUCACUACGUGGAUAGAGCAAGGACCCAGCACUUGUGCUCUGGGUCAUGGGCUUCCCCACAAACACAAAAGCAUCUGUCACAGUAAAAAAAUGGAUACUGUAUUGAGUGCACACACUAACACUGAUUGAUCAGAUCCAUACCCCAGAUUUUGGGGGCAGAUCCAUGGCCCCAAAUAUCUUCCUCUCAACUUAUACAGCAACAAAUAAGAAAGAAAGAAAAAAGUCAAAACAAAAAGCUCAUGCUUCUCAUAUGAGGAUUGCAGGAAGUGUGAUCUGGUGGUCAGUUCUGAUUAGGCCAUUUUAGAUAGAACAGUGCACAGUGAUGCUUAAUGUGAUGGGUCCUAUAUAAAGCUUUCUGCAAUAUUGGAAUUUUAACAAGCCUCAUCCAGAACAUACAAAACAGGAAAGGAUGUGAUCACCAUGUCCUUGCUCUCUAUCAGGUUAUUUUUCUGUGUCCGUGAUUGUCAGGCAUAGACAGCAACAAUCUGAAAUAGCUGGUAGACAUGGAACAAAGUGGCUAAAACUGUAGUUGUGGGUUACACACCUCAACUGUCAAAGGCUAAUGCUGUCCUCACAGUCCCUGGAGGCCACUCUUGUAAGACUGUCUACUGGAAAGUAGAAGCAGGUUUAUCUGAGCUCAAAGUGAACCUGGCCAGCUAGGAAGAGGGCAACAUGGGAUAGUUGAGACCCUGUCUAAACCAGCACAGAAACCCACACUUCCUUCAAAGCAUCAUCUAUGAAUUCUUGAUUAUCUACCAUUCUCUCCCUACCAGUCUUUCAGACUGGAAUUGUAGAAAAGAACUGGAAAUGAUCUUCCUAUUCUGAAGACCUUGAUCUCUCUUUCCUUAGGUGCACAUUAAGAACUCAUGCAAAUGGGUAUGACCAUCUGAACAUCUUAGUAUCAUCUACUCAGUAUAUCCAGCAUAAUACAGUGCCUAUGGCAAUCAUCAAGCUUCCUUGAGUUUUGCUGACCCAGCAAGAAGUAUGAAGUACUGAGGUCAAACCCCAGUGAUCCUUUCAAGGGUUUAGAAGAAAGCCAUCAGAGAAACUCCAAUUCUUUGUCCUUAGAUUAAAUCAAGCUGAUACAAUGUGAACCUGGUGGGCUAUUUAACCAUGCAUCUUUCUGCCAACCCCACCUUUCUGAGUUCAGUCCAUGUGACCCUGCAUGCGGAGAAUGCAUAGAGUGUACAUAGACCACAGUGAGUCCUAAAGAGGACAACAAGCCUGGAAUCCAGUGUCACUGCAAGGAGUUUGGUCUUCGCUUAAGAGACCUCCUCAGUGGGUUUCAGUUCUCCCUCUACUCUAUAGAGACCAAGAGAUGUAAGCAGCCAGCUGUUCCCUAUGCCUGCUGACCCACGCAAUAAAUGCAGUAAAUUUUAAUUUCUGUUCAAUUGUUCAGUAACUUACAUACACUUGCAUAUUGCUGUGGAAGUGAUGGGGUUUCGUGAUCAGCAUUGCAUUUAACAAUGCAUAACCAAUCAUCCCUCCUAGAAUGAUUCUGUAUAUAGAGAAAAAAAAUUUAUUAGAAUGGCUUAUAGGCUGUGGUACAGCUAAUUCAACAAGGAAUGGAAGGUCUAAAACGCAGUAGUUACCCCUGUUGAAGCCAAUCCCCCUAGCAUAGCUGUAGCCAUUUUGUUCCAUGCCGGCUAGAUAGUUCAUAUUCUUGCUGUAAUAUGUCGCAUAUCAUUGUUGUCUGAAAAUAAUUUAACUCACAGCAGGGUCAGGAAUGAUCACAUAACUUGUGUAUGUUUUUUUUAUCGGUUAUUUUGUUUAUUUGGAUUUCAAAUGUUAACCCCUUUCCAGUUUCCCCUACAAUAACCCUGCAUUCCACCCCCUUCCCCAGCCUCCUCGAGGGUGCUCCCCCACCCACCCAUUCCUGAACCACUGGGAGGAAGUUGUUUAUGUUGUGAGGUUUCUUAAUCUUAAAUUUCAUAAUUAUAAGCUUCAUGUACGACCAAAAAAUUAAAGGUCAAUAUGAGGGCUGCAGAGAUGGCUCCAUGGUUAAGAGCACUGACUGCUCUUCCAGAGGUCCUGAGUUCAAAUCCCAGCAACCACGUGGUGGCUCACAACCAUCUGUAAUGAGACCUGAUGCCCUCUUCUGGUGUGUCUGCAGACAGCUACAGUGUACUUAUAUAUAAAUAAAUAAAUCUUUAAACAGAUAAAAA
Long non-coding RNA from Rattus norvegicus (Norway rat), 3660 nucleotides. RefSeq lists it as uncharacterized. Lineage: Eukaryota; Metazoa; Chordata; Mammalia; Rodentia; Muridae. The record is from RefSeq and is a predicted model, not a curated record.